This 405-nucleotide ribosomal RNA is filed under the name uncultured bacterium. RNAcentral's name for it is "partial 16S ribosomal RNA". It matches the Rfam family "Bacterial small subunit ribosomal RNA", at positions 359 to 773 of the family's 1533-position model. The record is from RNAcentral.
UAUAUUGCGCAAUGGACGGAAGUCUGACGCAGCGACGCCGCGUGAGCGAUGAAGGCCUUCGGGUCGUAACGCUCUGUCCUUGGGGAAGAAGGUCUUCGGACUUGACGGUACCCAAGAAGAAAGCCCCGGCUAACUACGUGCCAGCAGCCGCGGUAAUAUGUAGGGGGCGAGCGUUGUCCGGAAUUAUUGGGCGUAAAGGGAGCGCAGGCGGCUUAUUAAGUCUGAGGUUAAAGUUCGGGGCUCAACCCCGUGAUGCCUUAGAAACUGGUAGGCUAGAGUGCAGGAGAGGUGAGUGGAAUUCCAUGUGUAGCGGUAAAAUGCGUAGAUAUAUGGAGGAACACCAGUGGCGAAGGCGGCUCACUGGCCUGUAACUGACGCUGAGGCUCGAAAGCGUGGGGAGCAAAU